Molecule: long non-coding RNA, 598 nt
Organism: Rhododendron vialii
Lineage: Eukaryota; Viridiplantae; Streptophyta; Magnoliopsida; Ericales; Ericaceae
Exons: 2
Source: RefSeq, a predicted model, not a curated record
GGCAGGUUUUUGGUUUGCCCUCUCUCUCUCUCAAAACCAAGCUCUCUGAUCCUCUCUCCUCUCCUUUGUCCUCUCCUUCGUAAUAUUGGCUGAGGCUUUCAUAAUAAUAAGGAGAAAUUAAGGAAUUCAUAUGUCACCUCACAAAUGAUCAGUUUGAAGGGGGAAAGGCAAUCAGUGUUUGAGGAGGAGGGAGGCUUACUGGAGGACUAAUAAACUUGGACUGCGACAGAACGGAUGGAAUGCAGACAUCGAGUGUGACAUCAUAGUUGUCCACAAAUCUACUGGUUUCCCUAGUCACUUGGCCAUAUACUUUGGAACAGACAGGUGAAAGUGAGCUUCUGUAAUACUCGCUCACAUAGCGAGAGUAGUUACAGGCAGAAGUGAACAAUUUGUAUGUUGAAUCUGAUAUUAACCCAUGAGACCAGAAAAACUCAGCCCUUGAAUUGAAGUCCGUUGCGAAUUCAAGAACCGGAUUACCCAACUGCAGAUUAGAACAAGGCUCGAGAUUAAAUAAGCACUGCUUGAGAAAUAUUAUGUAAGUUUCUCAAGAUAUUGCAUAUGCAUACAAAAUACUUACAGCAACUCCUUUCAAAUUGAA